UUAAGUUAUUAAGGGCGCACGGUGGAUGCCUUGGCACUAGAAGCCGAUGAAGGACGUUACUAACGACGAUAUGCUUUGGGGAGCUGUAAGUAAGCUUUGAUCCAGAGAUUUCCGAAUGGGGAAACCCAGCAUGAGUUAUGUCAUGUUAUCGAUAUGUGAAUACAUAGCAUAUCAGAAGGCACACCCGGAGAACUGAAACAUCUUAGUACCCGGAGGAAGAGAAAGAAAAUUCGAUUCCCUUAGUAGCGGCGAGCGAAACGGGAAGAGCCCAAACCAACAAGCUUGCUUGUUGGGGUUGUAGGACACUCUAUACGGAGUUACAAAGGACGACAUUAGACGAAUCAUCUGGAAAGAUGAAUCAAAGAAGGUAAUAAUCCUGUAGUCGAAAAUGUUGUCUCUCUUGAGUGGAUCCUGAGUACGACGGAGCACGUGAAAUUCCGUCGGAAUCUGGGAGGACCAUCUCCUAAGGCUAAAUACUCUCUAGUGACCGAUAGUGAACCAGUACCGUGAGGGAAAGGUGAAAAGCACCCCGGAAGGGGAGUGAAAUAGAACCUGAAACCGUGUGCUUACAAGUAGUCAGAGCCCGUUAAUGGGUGAUGGCGUGCCUUUUGUAGAAUGAACCGGCGAGUUACGAUUUGAUGCAAGGUUAAGCAGUAAAUGUGGAGCCGUAGCGAAAGCGAGUCUGAAUAGGGCGUUUAGUAUUUGGUCGUAGACCCGAAACCAGGUGAUCUACCCUUGGUCAGGUUGAAGUUCAGGUAACACUGAAUGGAGGACCGAACCGACUUACGUUGAAAAGUGAGCGGAUGAACUGAGGGUAGCGGAGAAAUUCCAAUCGAACCUGGAGAUAGCUGGUUCUCUCCGAAAUAGCUUUAGGGCUAGCCUCAAGUGAUGAUUAUUGGAGGUAGAGCACUGUUUGGACGAGGGGCCCCUCUCGGGUUACCGAAUUCAGACAAACUCCGAAUGCCAAUUAAUUUAACUUGGGAGUCAGAACAUGGGUGAUAAGGUCCGUGUUCGAAAGGGAAACAGCCCAGACCACCAGCUAAGGUCCCAAAAUAUAUGUUAAGUGGAAAAGGAUGUGGCGUUGCCCAGACAACUAGGAUGUUGGCUUAGAAGCAGCCAUCAUUUAAAGAGUGCGUAAUAGCUCACUAGUCGAGUGACACUGCGCCGAAAAUGUACCGGGGCUAAACAUAUUACCGAAGCUGUGGAUUGUCCUUUGGACAAUGGUAGGAGAGCGUUCUAAGGGCGUUGAAGCAUGAUCGUAAGGACAUGUGGAGCGCUUAGAAGUGAGAAUGCCGGUGUGAGUAGCGAAAGACGGGUGAGAAUCCCGUCCACCGAUUGACUAAGGUUUCCAGAGGAAGGCUCGUCCGCUCUGGGUUAGUCGGGUCCUAAGCUGAGGCCGACAGGCGUAGGCGAUGGAUAACAGGUUGAUAUUCCUGUACCACCUAUAAUCGUUUUAAUCGAUGGGGGACGCAGUAGGAUAGGCGAAGCGUGCGAUUGGAUUGCACGUCUAAGCAGUAAGGCUGAGUAUUAGGCAAAUCCGGUACUCGUUAAGGCUGAGCUGUGAUGGGGAGAAGACAUUGUGUCUUCGAGUCGUUGAUUUCACACUGCCGAGAAAAGCCUCUAGAUAGAAAAUAGGUGCCCGUACCGCAAACCGACACAGGUAGUCAAGAUGAGAAUUCUAAGGUGAGCGAGCGAACUCUCGUUAAGGAACUCGGCAAAAUGACCCCGUAACUUCGGGAGAAGGGGUGCUCUUUAGGGUUAACGCCCAGAAGAGCCGCAGUGAAUAGGCCCAAGCGACUGUUUAUCAAAAACACAGGUCUCUGCUAAACCGUAAGGUGAUGUAUAGGGGCUGACGCCUGCCCGGUGCUGGAAGGUUAAGAGGAGUGGUUAGCUUCUGCGAAGCUACGAAUCGAAGCCCCAGUAAACGGCGGCCGUAACUAUAACGGUCCUAAGGUAGCGAAAUUCCUUGUCGGGUAAGUUCCGACCCGCACGAAAGGCGUAACGAUUUGGGCACUGUCUCAACGAGAGACUCGGUGAAAUCAUAGUACCUGUGAAGAUGCAGGUUACCCGCGACAGGACGGAAAGACCCCGUGGAGCUUUACUGUAGCCUGAUAUUGAAAUUCGGCACAGCUUGUACAGGAUAGGUAGGAGCCUUUGAAACGUGAGCGCUAGCUUACGUGGAGGCGCUGGUGGGAUACUACCCUAGCUGUGUUGGCUUUCUAACCCGCACCACUUAUCGUGGUGGGAGACAGUGUCAGGCGGGCAGUUUGACUGGGGCGGUCGCCUCCUAAAAGGUAACGGAGGCGCUCAAAGGUUCCCUCAGAAUGGUUGGAAAUCAUUCAUAGAGUGUAAAGGCAUAAGGGAGCUUGACUGCGAGACCUACAAGUCGAGCAGGGUCGAAAGACGGACUUAGUGAUCCGGUGGUUCCGCAUGGAAGGGCCAUCGCUCAACGGAUAAAAGCUACCCCGGGGAUAACAGGCUUAUCUCCCCCAAGAGUUCACAUCGACGGGGAGGUUUGGCACCUCGAUGUCGGCUCAUCGCAUCCUGGGGCUGUAGUCGGUCCCAAGGGUUGGGCUGUUCGCCCAUUAAAGCGGUACGCGAGCUGGGUUCAGAACGUCGUGAGACAGUUCGGUCCCUAUCCGUCGUGGGCGUAGGAAAUUUGAGAGGAGCUGUCCUUAGUACGAGAGGACCGGGAUGGACAUACCUCUGGUGUACCAGUUGUCGUGCCAACGGCAUAGCUGGGUAGCUAUGUGUGGACGGGAUAAGUGCUGAAAGCAUCUAAGCAUGAAGCCCCCUCAAGAUGAGAUUUCCCAACUUCGGUUAUAAGAUCCCUCAAAGAUGAUGAGGUUAAUAGGUUCGAGGUGGAAGCAUGGUGACAUGUGGAGCUGACGAAUACUAAUCGAUCGAAGACUUAAUCAA
Molecule: ribosomal RNA, 2919 nt
Filed under: Staphylococcus aureus
Lineage: Bacteria; Bacillati; Bacillota; Bacilli; Caryophanales; Staphylococcaceae
Description: bacterial LSU rRNA
Rfam family: Bacterial large subunit ribosomal RNA
Source: RNAcentral